RNAcentral lists this ribosomal RNA (433 nucleotides) under uncultured bacterium. RNAcentral describes it as "partial 16S ribosomal RNA". It matches the Rfam family "Bacterial small subunit ribosomal RNA", at positions 29 to 507 of the family's 1533-position model. The record is from RNAcentral.
AACGAACGCUGGCGGCAUGCCUAACACAUGCAAGUCGAACGAGACCUUCGGGUCUAGUGGCGCACGGGUGCGUAACGCGUGGGAACCUGCCCUUAGGUUCGGAAUAACUCCCCGAAAGGGGUGCUAAUACCGGAUAAUGUCUUCGGACCAAAGAUUUAUCGCCUUUGGAUGGGCCCGCGUUGGAUUAGCUAGUUGGUAGGGUAAAAGCCUACCAAGGCGACGAUCCAUAGCUGGUCUGAGAGGAUGAUCAGCCACACUGGGACUGAGACACGGCCCAGACUCCUACGGGAGGCAGCAGUGGGGAAUAUUGGAGAGGGGGCGAAAGCCUGAGGGAGCAAUGCCGCGUGAGUGAUGAAGGCGUGAGGGUUGUAAAGCUCUUUUACCCGGGAUGAUAAUGACAGUACAGGGAGAAUAAGCUCCGGCUAACUCCGUG